RNAcentral lists this ribosomal RNA (519 nucleotides) under uncultured bacterium. RNAcentral describes it as "bacterial SSU rRNA". It matches the Rfam family "Archaeal small subunit ribosomal RNA", at positions 345 to 864 of the family's 1478-position model. The record is from RNAcentral.
AACCUCCGCAAUGCGAGAAAUCGCGACGGGGGGACCCCAAGUGCCACUCUUAACGGGGUGGCUUUUCUUAAGUGUAAAAAGCUUUUGGAAUAAGGGCUGGGCAAGACCGGUGCCAGCCGCCGCGGUAACACCGGCAGCUCUAGUGGUAGCCAUUUUUAUUGGGCCUAAAGCGUUCGUAGCCGGUUUGAUAAGUCUCUGGUGAAAUCCUGUAGCUUAACUGUGGGAAUUGCUGGAGAUACUAUUAGACUUGAGGUCGGGAGAGGUUAGCGGUACUCCCAGGGUAGGGGUGAAAUCCUGUAAUCCUGGGAGGACCACCUGUGGCGAAGGCGGCUAACUGGAACGAACCUGACGGUGAGGGACGAAAGCCAGGGGCGCGAACCGGAUUAGAUACCCGGGUAGUCCUGGCCGUAAACGAUGUGGACUUGGUGUUGGGAUGGCUUCGAGCUGUUUCAGUGCCGAAGGGAAGCUGUUAAGUCCACCGCCUGGGAAGUACGGUCGCAAGACUGAAACUUAAAGAAU